GGGAGGGCUGUUGCCCAUGGCCACUGCACAAGGUCUCAGCUACACUCGGGCUGAUCUUUCCAGGCCAGGCUGAGUGGAGGGACAGCGACGGAGAGAGCUCAGGCUGCACGUCGGUGGGCUGCUGGUCAGUCUUGUUCCACUGUAG
Equus caballus (horse) is the source of this 145-nucleotide microRNA precursor. Lineage: Eukaryota; Metazoa; Chordata; Mammalia; Perissodactyla; Equidae. The record is from Ensembl.